GCCCAGCCGUAAACAAUUAAUCCACAACCAUAAGCGCCAGGGAAUUACGAGCCAAGCUUAAAACCCAAAGGAUUUGACGGUGUCCCACCCCCCUAGAGGAGCCUGUUCUAUAAUCGAUGAUCCCCGCUACACCCGACCAUUUCUUGCUUAUCAGUCUGUAUACCUCCGUCGAAAGCCUACCAUGUGAACGCCCCCACAGUAGGUUCAAUGAUCCCCGUCAAUACGUCAGGUCAAGGUGCAGCUUAAGAAAUGGGAAGUGAUGGGCUACAAUUUCUAACCUAGAACAAACGAAAGGCUAUGUGAAAUCAUAGUCACGAAGGCGGAUUUAGUAGUAAAAAGAAAAUAGAGUGUUCUUUUUAACCUGGCUCUGGGACGCGUACACACCGCCCGUCACCCUCUUCGAUAGUGCUAACCCACAGUUUAUAACCUAUUUAUACGUCUGAGAAGAGGCAAGUCGUAACAUGGUAAGUGUACUGGAAAGUGCACUUGGUAUAUUACAAAAUAUAGCUUAACAAAAGCCCCCCGCUUACACCGAGGAGUUAUCUGUUUGACCCAGAUUAUUUUGAGCCUUAAAUCUAGCCCACACAACCCGCAUGAUACUCCUCGACAUCUGUAAAAAAUAAAACAUUUUAACAUUUUAGUAUAGGCGAUAGAAAAAUUAUUAGGCGCUUUAGACAGAGUACCGCAAGGGAAACAUGAAAUAGAAAUGAAACAAUUCUUACAGCCACAAACAGCAGAGACACCCCCUCG
This 750-nucleotide ribosomal RNA is filed under the name Odorrana margaretae (green odorous frog). Its description in RNAcentral is "partial 12S ribosomal RNA". The stretch from base 1 to 502 matches the Rfam family "Bacterial small subunit ribosomal RNA", at positions 794 to 1533 of the family's 1533-position model. The record is from RNAcentral. Lineage: Eukaryota; Metazoa; Chordata; Amphibia; Anura; Ranidae.